Molecule: non-coding RNA, 151 nt
Organism: Ricinus communis (castor bean)
Lineage: Eukaryota; Viridiplantae; Streptophyta; Magnoliopsida; Malpighiales; Euphorbiaceae
Source: Rfam
GUUGCUUCCUUAAUAAUGAAGUGGCUCUUUAAUAUGUCAGUCACUUUUAAUGAGAAGCAUAUAUUAAAUUUAAUCUAUAAAAUGCCAGUUUCAAACAGCAUGAUUUGCUUCUUCUUUUUAAGAAUUGUGCUACCUGUCUCCUGGUAUAUUU